CCCCCUCCUGGCUCCCACGCGCCCGGCCCAACCCUGGCCGGGUCUCCGCCCGCGCGCCUGCACCUCACAACCCCAGGCAGCUGCGGCUGCGAGCGUGGCCGUGGGGUCCCGCGCAGACCCCUUCGCUAGUAAGAUGCCCCUCGAGUCGCCUUUCGGCCGUGGAGAGGGCCGGAGGGCGGGCUGCCCUCCCCGGUCGCUGACAAAGGGAGGCAGUGACCCCUAGCGGCCGGCAAUGGGGAGACGCUGCUCGGUAGGGGUGGAGUUAAGCUGGGGAGGGGGCGGCCGUGGGGAGCCGUGUGAACGCUGGAUCUGGCAUUGUCCGAGCUCCGAGGGCUUUUUUAGCCCUUUCCUCCAACCCUGAGCCCAUUUCACAGAUGAGGAAACAAAGGCUCAGAGGAGGGCGUAGAGCGUGGUCCCGGGUAGAAAGAAGCAGAGAACAGUCUAGAACUCAGCUGUCAAAGCAUCUGCACCCCGAGAUGUGGACGUAGGACAGAAGCUGCUUAACGGAGGAGGAUCAACCGCGAAAGCUGUCGAGAAGCGGAGGGAAAGCAUUAGUGGAUGAGCUCAGGGCACUCAGGUUUCUAGUGGGACGUCCUUUAUAAUCCUCAUUGCCUUCAGAGGGUCCUUGUCCCGAAAUGGAAGCAUUCUGCUUUCCCUCAAAGAACAAGAAACCAAGUCGGCUACCAUUGCUCGCACCUCGUUUCUGAGCAGUUUGCGGGAUUCCCGCGAAAGUGGUCCAUCCAGUCGGUGUCCCAGAACGGCCUGGACUCUCCGCCCCAUCCUGUUCGCCACCCACCACAUCCGGGUGGCUUCUUGCCAAGGAUCUAAAUCAGGACACCACCUGGCAUUUAACGCAAGUGAUCUUCUAAUGCAAGCGAUCAGCUCCAAGCAUGAGGCCCCUUCCCUGGCCUGCCAAAUUCAGGCCAUUAUCAUGGCCUCAGCAAUGUCUCCUGGAUCCUUCCUGCUUUAGAAGCCUCACAUUUCUCUGUUCUAGGGCUUUGCAUAGGGGAGACUUCACUUUAAUGGGGGUCAUCAAAUUUAUUUCUUCUGUAAACCUCACCCCCUUUUUUGGUCAGCUUCCUUUUCUUUUGGCCUUGGUUCACUUGUGCCACGUCCUCGUGGUAGGUAGACCAGACUUGUCCCCUGUCUUCCUACAGCUCUUUUCUGUAUUCCUGCAGUCUCAUUGGUGAUUGAUUAUUUGCAAUGUUUGAUCCACUCUAGGCCAGGGACAAUAUCUCUUUGUAUCCUUAGGACCUAGGAACACAGCGCACACCCACUAAGCACCUGAUGGGAAAGCUUUUGUCUUCUCCCUUGCAUCCUGUGUCCCCUCCUGCUGAUCACAUGCUCUCCCGGGGCCUCGUUUUUCUCAUCUGCAGACUGAGGAGGCCUAUGUCCCCACUGGAUUUCAAGGGCCCCAGCUCCCUGCUUCAAUAGAGCCAUGUUUAAAGAACAUGUUGUUUUCACACACUGUAAACAUUGGCCUUCUGAUAAGUAUUUCUCUUAAUGGGAUUUGAGGAUUUGGCUGUUCAAAAAGUUUGAGACUCCUGACUGAUUACUGUACUAUAAGUUAUGAUUGCAUAAAUGUUCAUGAUUUCACAAUUUCAUGAUGGUUGGUUUAAAUAAAUAUUUUUUCCUUUUUUUCUUUCUUCUUCUUCUUUUUAAAGGCAAUAGUGAGCCAUUGAAGAUUUUUGAACAGAGAAGUGCUUAUUGGGAACUGCUGGAGCUGGGCUUUCAGGAGAUGAAUCUGGCAACGAUGUGAACAGGACAGACAGAUGAUGAUUGAGAGAUCACCGCAGAGCUUCCUCAUUGCCAUGGCUGCCAUUGCUCUUGGGACGACCAGCUGAAUACAGCUGCACCUCACCCCCAGGUCCAGUGAUUUA
Molecule: long non-coding RNA, 1880 nt
Organism: Arvicola amphibius (Eurasian water vole)
Lineage: Eukaryota; Metazoa; Chordata; Mammalia; Rodentia; Cricetidae
Exons: 3
Source: RefSeq, a predicted model, not a curated record